Molecule: long non-coding RNA, 225 nt
Filed under: Musa acuminata (dwarf banana)
Lineage: Eukaryota; Viridiplantae; Streptophyta; Magnoliopsida; Zingiberales; Musaceae
Description: long non-coding RNA (MACU_LNC009271)
Source: RNAcentral
GCGUAUAGAGUAGAUUGUGUUACCUAGGGAGAUCGUAUAUCCUUGUUUCCUUGCAGAUCCUUAGGAGAGGGUGAAGGAGGUCAAGCGUCCUCCUCUCUAGUGGUGAUCCACACAGCAGGGCUGCGAUAACGCUCCUCAAAACUGUAGGCCUACUCUGAGGUGAAGAGUGGGAGGAGAAUAGGAGAGGCAAGCAAAGGCUUUAGCCUAUGAGGCUCUGAAUCCCUC